AAGAACACUACAAAUUGUCGUG
Molecule: microRNA, 22 nt
Filed under: Nematostella vectensis (starlet sea anemone)
Lineage: Eukaryota; Metazoa; Cnidaria; Anthozoa; Actiniaria; Edwardsiidae
Description: nve-miR-9416
Source: miRBase by way of RNAcentral